CAGGAAGUAGUUUAAUUAGAACGUCAGCUUUGGGUGCUGAUAGUGAGGAGGAGAAUCUUCUUCUUGA
This 67-nucleotide transfer RNA is filed under the name Rhabdomys chakae. RNAcentral describes it as "tRNA-Pro". It matches the Rfam family "tRNA". Rfam says of the family: Transfer RNA (tRNA) molecules are approximately 80 nucleotides in length. The record is from RNAcentral. Lineage: Eukaryota; Metazoa; Chordata; Mammalia; Rodentia; Muridae.